RNAcentral lists this transfer RNA (63 nucleotides) under Toxolasma parvum (lilliput). RNAcentral describes it as "Toxolasma parvus (lilliput) tRNA-Trp". The record is from RNAcentral. Lineage: Eukaryota; Metazoa; Mollusca; Bivalvia; Unionida; Unionidae.
AGGGAUUUAAGUUAAACAAAACUAAUAGCCUUCAAAGCUUUAAUUGAUAAAAAUCAAUCCUUA